CACCCCUCUCUCCCCUCUCCCCGAUGGCCUCUCCCUCUUUUUAUAGGCCCUUGGAAAUGUGGUGGAGGCGAGAUCAGCGGGAUCGGCGGAAUGCUUGAUGCGGAAGGUGGGGACGCGGAUCCGGGCGCUGGGAGGAGCCGAUCACGGAAGAGCUGGCACGGACGUUUGGAUGCGGAGGAAUCCGGACGGGAUGAUGGCGGGAUCCGAGGUUUGGAUGCGAUCUGUGAGGUGGCUCCUUGAUGGCUGCUGAUUUGGGAGGCUCGGG
This 265-nucleotide long non-coding RNA is filed under the name Phoenix dactylifera (date palm). RNAcentral describes it as "long non-coding RNA (PDAC_LNC020216)". Lineage: Eukaryota; Viridiplantae; Streptophyta; Magnoliopsida; Arecales; Arecaceae. The record is from RNAcentral.